This 597-nucleotide long non-coding RNA is filed under the name Phaseolus vulgaris (common bean). Its description in RNAcentral is "long non-coding RNA (PVUL_LNC004108)". The record is from RNAcentral. Lineage: Eukaryota; Viridiplantae; Streptophyta; Magnoliopsida; Fabales; Fabaceae.
GACCAGAAGCCUGUGUCUGAGUCACCAUCAAACAACCAGCUGGUCAAUUCUGAGGCACUUCCAAGUAAUGGCGUGGUAGAUUCUGGACAUCAGACCAGUAAUGAUGUGGUUGUAUCUGAAACGCAGCGCAGCAAUGAGGUGGUUUUACCUGAAGCAGAGCAAAACAAUGAGGUGGUUUUACCUGAAGCAGAGCAAAACAAUGAGGUGGUUUUACCUGAAGCAGAGCAAAACAAUGAGGUGGUUUUACCUGAAACUGACCAAAGAGAUGAGGUGGUUAUAUCUGAAACCCAGCAAAGAGACGAGGCAGUUUUAUCUGAAACCCAGCAAGGCGAUGAAGCAGUUUUAUCUGAAACCCAGCAAAGCCAUGAGGCAGUUUUAUCAGAAACACAGCAAAGCCACGAGGCAGUUUUAUCAGAAACACAGCAAAGCCACGAGGCGGUUUUAUCUGAAACACAGCAAAUCAAUGGGGCAAUUUUAUCUGAAACACAGCAAAGCAGUGAGGCAGUUUUAUCUGAAAUACAGCAAAGCAAAGAGGCAGUUUUAUCUGAAAUACAGCAAAACAAAGAGGCAGUUUUAUCUGAAACACAGCAAAGCAAU